GAUGAAGAACGCAGCGAAAUGCGAUAAGUAAUGUGAAUUGCAGAAUUCCGUGAAUCAUCGAAUCUUUGAACGCACAUUGCGCCCUCUGGUAUUCCGGGGGGCAUGCCUGUCCGAGCGUCAUUUGCAACCCUCAAGCCCGGCUUGUGUGAUGGGUGCCGUCCCCUACGGGACGCGCCCCGAAGGCAAUGGCGGCGUCGCGGUUAUCCGAUCAGCCAAAGUGUAUGGGGCUUUGUCACUCACUUUACGGCCCGGACCGGCGCCAGUCCGAAUCAAUCUUUUUUCUAAAGUUGACCUCGGAUCAGGUAGGGAUACCCGCUGAACUUAAGCAUAUCAAUAACGGAGGA
RNAcentral lists this unclassified non-coding RNA (344 nucleotides) under soil metagenome. RNAcentral describes it as "partial contains 5.8S ribosomal RNA, internal transcribed spacer 2, and large subunit ribosomal RNA". The stretch from base 1 to 120 matches the Rfam family "5.8S ribosomal RNA", at positions 35 to 154 of the family's 154-position model. The record is from RNAcentral.